AUGAACGCUGGCGGCGUGCCUAAUACAUGCAAGUCGAGCGAACGGACGAGAAGCUUGCUUCUCUGAUGUUAGCGGCGGACGGGUGAGUAACACGUGGAUAACCUACCUAUAAGACUGGGAUAACUUCGGGAAACCGGAGCUAAUACCGGAUGAUAUUUUGAACCGCAUGGUUCAAAAGUGAAAGACGGUCUUGCUGUCACUUAUAGAUGGAUCCGCGCUGCAUUAGCUAGUUGGUAAGGUAACGGCUUACCAAGGCAACGAUGCAUAGCCGACCUGAGAGGGUGAUCGGCCACACUGGAACUGAGACACGGUCCAGACUCCUACGGGAGGCAGCAGUAGGGAAUCUUCCGCAAUGGGCGAAAGCCUGACGGAGCAACGCCGCGUGAGUGAUGAAGGUCCUCGGAUCGUAAAACUCUGUUAUUAGGGAAGAACAUACGUGUAAGUAACUGUGCACAUCUUGACGGUACCUAAUCAGAAAGCCACGGCUAACUACGUG
Molecule: ribosomal RNA, 496 nt
Filed under: uncultured bacterium
Lineage: Bacteria
Description: partial 16S ribosomal RNA
Rfam family: Bacterial small subunit ribosomal RNA
Source: RNAcentral